ACUCUGAUCCUGGGGCUCAGCGAGUUUGCAAGGGGUGUUUCUGUCCACGGUCAGGCUUGCCAGCCUUGGUCCCUGGGCCC
Gorilla gorilla gorilla (western lowland gorilla) is the source of this 80-nucleotide microRNA precursor. The record is from Ensembl. Lineage: Eukaryota; Metazoa; Chordata; Mammalia; Primates; Hominidae.